Molecule: ribosomal RNA, 2908 nt
Filed under: Salmonella enterica
Lineage: Bacteria; Pseudomonadati; Pseudomonadota; Gammaproteobacteria; Enterobacterales; Enterobacteriaceae
Description: 23S ribosomal RNA
Rfam family: Bacterial large subunit ribosomal RNA
Source: RNAcentral
GGUUAAGCGACUAAGCGUACACGGUGGAUGCCCUGGCAGUCAGAGGCGAUGAAGGGCGUGCUAAUCUGCGAUAAGCGCCGGUAAGGUGAUAUGAACCGUUAUAACCGGCGAUACCCGAAUGGGGAAACCCAGUGUGACUCGUCACACUAUCAUUAACUGAAUCCAUAGGUUAAUGAGGCGAACCGGGGGAACUGAAACAUCUAAGUACCCCGAGGAAAAGAAAUCAACCGAGAUUCCCCCAGUAGCGGCGAGCGAACGGGGAGGAGCCCAGAGCCUGAAUCAGCAUGUGUGUUAGUGGAAGCGUCUGGAAAGGCGCGCGAUACAGGGUGACAGCCCCGUACACAAAAGCGCAUGUGCUGUGAGCUCGAUGAGUAGGGCGGGACACGUGGUAUCCUGUCUGAAUAUGGGGGGACCAUCCUCCAAGGCUAAAUACUCCUGACUGACCGAUAGUGAACCAGUACCGUGAGGGAAAGGCGAAAAGAACCCCGGCGAGGGGAGUGAAAAAGAACCUGAAACCGUGUACGUACAAGCAGUGGGAGCACAGGUUUACCUGUGUGACUGCGUACCUUUUGUAUAAUGGGUCAGCGACUUAUAUUCUGUAGCAAGGUUAACCGAAUAGGGGAGCCGCAGGGAAACCGAGUCUUAAUUGGGCGUUAAGUUGCAGGGUAUAGACCCGAAACCCGGUGAUCUAGCCAUGGGCAGGUUGAAGGUUGGGUAACACUAACUGGAGGACCGAACCGACUAAUGUUGAAAAAUUAGCGGAUGACCUGUGGCUGGGGGUGAAAGGCCAAUCAAACCGGGAGAUAGCUGGUUCUCCCCGAAAGCUAUUUAGGUAGCGCCUCGUGAACUCAUCUCCGGGGGUAGAGCACUGUUUCGGCUAGGGGGCCAUCCCGGCUUACCAACCCGAUGCAAACUGCGAAUACCGGAGAAUGUUAUCACGGGAGACACACGGCGGGUGCUAACGUCCGUCGUGAAGAGGGAAACAACCCAGACCGCCAGCUAAGGUCCCAAAGUCAUGGUUAAGUGGGAAACGAUGUGGGAAGGCCCAGACAGCCAGGAUGUUGGCUUAGAAGCAGCCAUCAUUUAAAGAAAGCGUAAUAGCUCACUGGUCGAGUCGGCCUGCGCGGAAGAUGUAACGGGGCUAAACCAUGCACCGAAGCUGCGGCAGCGACGCUGAUGCGUUGUUGGGUAGGGGAGCGUUCUGUAAGCCUGCGAAGGUGGCCUGUGAGGGUUGCUGGAGGUAUCAGAAGUGCGAAUGCUGACAUAAGUAACGAUAAAGCGGGUGAAAAGCCCGCUCGCCGGAAGACCAAGGGUUCCUGUCCAACGUUAAUCGGGGCAGGGUGAGUCGACCCCUAAGGCGAGGCCGAAAGGCGUAGUCGAUGGGAAACGGGUUAAUAUUCCCGUACUUGGUGUUACUGCGAAGGGGGGACGGAGAAGGCUAUGUUGGCCGGGCGACGGUUGUCCCGGUUUAAGCGUGUAGGUGUGUGUUCCAGGUAAAUCCGGUUCACUUUAACACUGAGGCGUGAUGACGAGGCACUACGGUGCUGAAGCAACAAAUGCCCUGCUUCCAGGAAAAGCCUCUAAGCAUCAGGUAACAUCAAAUCGUACCCCAAACCGACACAGGUGGUCAGGUAGAGAAUACCAAGGCGCUUGAGAGAACUCGGGUGAAGGAACUAGGCAAAAUGGUGCCGUAACUUCGGGAGAAGGCACGCUGACACGUAGGUGAAGUGAUUUACUCAUGGAGCUGAAGUCAGUCGAAGAUACCAGCUGGCUGCAACUGUUUAUUAAAAACACAGCACUGUGCAAACACGAAAGUGGACGUAUACGGUGUGACGCCUGCCCGGUGCCGGAAGGUUAAUUGAUGGGGUCAGCGCAAGCGAAGCUCCUGAUCGAAGCCCCGGUAAACGGCGGCCGUAACUAUAACGGUCCUAAGGUAGCGAAAUUCCUUGUCGGGUAAGUUCCGACCUGCACGAAUGGCGUAAUGAUGGCCAGGCUGUCUCCACCCGAGACUCAGUGAAAUUGAACUCGCUGUGAAGAUGCAGUGUACCCGCGGCAAGACGGAAAGACCCCGUGAACCUUUACUAUAGCUUGACACUGAACAUUGAGCCUUGAUGUGUAGGAUAGGUGGGAGGCUUUGAAGUGUGGACGCCAGUCUGCAUGGAGCCGACCUUGAAAUACCACCCUUUAAUGUUUGAUGUUCUAACGUGGACCCGUAAUCCGGGUUGCGGACAGUGUCUGGUGGGUAGUUUGACUGGGGCGGUCUCCUCCUAAAGAGUAACGGAGGAGCACGAAGGUUGGCUAAUCCUGGUCGGACAUCAGGAGGUUAGUGCAAUGGCAUAAGCCAGCUUGACUGCGAGCGUGACGGCGCGAGCAGGUGCGAAAGCAGGUCAUAGUGAUCCGGUGGUUCUGAAUGGAAGGGCCAUCGCUCAACGGAUAAAAGGUACUCCGGGGAUAACAGGCUGAUACCGCCCAAGAGUUCAUAUCGACGGCGGUGUUUGGCACCUCGAUGUCGGCUCAUCACAUCCUGGGGCUGAAGUAGGUCCCAAGGGUAUGGCUGUUCGCCAUUUAAAGUGGUACGCGAGCUGGGUUUAGAACGUCGUGAGACAGUUCGGUCCCUAUCUGCCGUGGGCGCUGGAGAACUGAGGGGGGCUGCUCCUAGUACGAGAGGACCGGAGUGGACGCAUCACUGGUGUUCGGGUUGUCAUGCCAAUGGCACUGCCCGGUAGCUAAAUGCGGAAGAGAUAAGUGCUGAAAGCAUCUAAGCACGAAACUUGCCCCGAGAUGAGUUCUCCCUGAGACUUAGAGUCUCCUGAAGGAACGUUGAAGACGACGACGUUGAUAGGCCGGGUGUGUAAGCGCAGCGAUGCGUUGAGCUAACCGGUACUAAUGAACCGUGAGGCUUAACCUU